This 496-nucleotide ribosomal RNA is filed under the name uncultured bacterium. RNAcentral describes it as "partial 16S ribosomal RNA". It matches the Rfam family "Bacterial small subunit ribosomal RNA", at positions 899 to 1397 of the family's 1533-position model. The record is from RNAcentral.
ACUCAAAUGAAUUGACGGGGGCUCGCACAAGCGGUGGAGCAUGUGGUUUAAUUCGAUGGUAAGCGAAAAACCUUACCUGGGCUUGAACGUGUAGUGACAGUUGGUGAAAGCCAAUUUUCCUUCGGGACACUAUGCGAGGUGCUGCAUGGCUGUCGUCAGCUCGUGUUGUGAAAUGUUGGGUUAAGUCCCGCAACGAGCGCAACCCCCAUCCUAUGUUGCCAUCAUUCAGUUGGGCACUCUUGGGAAACUGCCCUGGUUAACGGGGAGGAAGGCGGGGAUGACGUCAAGUCCUCAUGGCCCUUAUGUCCAGGGCUACACACGUGCUACAAUGGAGCGCACAAAGGGACGCCAAGUCGCAAGACUGCGCAAAUCCCAAAAAACGCUUCUCAAUUCGGAUUGGAGUCUGCAACCCGACUCCAUGAAGCCGGAAUCGCUAGUAAUCACAGAUCAGCACGCUGUGGUGAAUACGUUCUCGAGCCUUGUACACACCGCCCGU